This 109-nucleotide ribosomal RNA is filed under the name bacterium. The record is from RNAcentral.
UUCUGGUGAUUUAGUCUAUCGUGCACUACCUCUUCCCAUUCCGAACAGAGAAGUAAAAGCGAUAAACGCUGAUGAUAGUCGUCAAGGCGAAAGUAGGCUUCGCCAGAAC